AGAGUUUGAUCAUGGCUCAGGAUGAACGCUGGCGGCGUGCUUAACACAUGCAAGUCGAGCGGAGCUCAAAUGCGGAUCCCCUUCGGGGGUGAAACAUCUGAGCUUAGCGGCGGACGGGUGCGUAACGCGUGGGUAAUCUGCCCUUGUCACCGGGAUAACACAUCGAAAGGUGUGCUAAUACCGGAUGAAAUACAGACCUGGCAUCGGGACUAUAUCAAAGUCAUGCGGACAAGGAUGAGCCUGCGUCUGAUUAGCUUGUUGGUGGGGUAAAAGCCUACCAAGGCGACGAUCAGUAGCCGACCUGAGAGGGUGAUCGGCCACACUGGAACUGAGACACGGUCCAGACUCCUACGGGAGGCAGCAGUGGGGAAUACUGCACAAUGGGCGCAAGCCUGAUGCAGCAACGCCGCGUGAGUGAUGAAGGCCUUCGGGUCGUAAAACUCUGUCCUAAGGGAAGAUAAUGACGGUACCUUAGGAGGAAGCCCCGGCUAACUACGUGCCAGCAGCCGCGGUAAUACGUAGGGGGCAAGCGUUAUCCGGAAUUACUGGGCGUAAAGGGUGCGUAGGUGGCCUGACAAGUCAGGGGUCAAAGGCAACGGCUCAACCGUUGUAAGCCCUUGAAACUGUCGGGCUUGAGUUCAGGAGAGGAAAGCGGAAUUCCUAGUGUAGCGGUGAAAUGCGUAGAUAUUAGGAGGAACACCAGUGGCGAAGGCGGCUUUCUGGACUGAUACUGACACUGAGGCACGAAAGCGUGGGGAGCAAACAGGAUUAGAUACCCCGGUAGU
Molecule: ribosomal RNA, 785 nt
Filed under: uncultured bacterium
Lineage: Bacteria
Description: bacterial SSU rRNA
Rfam family: Bacterial small subunit ribosomal RNA
Source: RNAcentral